Molecule: ribosomal RNA, 504 nt
Filed under: Georissus sp. AK-2004
Lineage: Eukaryota; Metazoa; Arthropoda; Insecta; Coleoptera; Georissidae
Description: partial 16S ribosomal RNA
Rfam family: Bacterial large subunit ribosomal RNA (bases 381-504)
Source: RNAcentral
GGUUUUUUGAGUAUAAUUUAAAAUUUGGCCUGCUCAAUGAAAUUUAAAUAGCUGCAGUAUUUUGACUGUACAAAGGUAGCAUAAUCAUUAGUUUCUUAAUUAGAAUCUUGUAUGAAAGGUUGGACGAGAAAUAAUCUGUCUUAAUUUAAUUUUAUUAAACUUUAUUUUUAAGUAAAAAAGCUUAAAUUUUAUUAAAAGACGAGAAGACCCUAUAGAGUUUUAUAUAUAAUUUGUAAUUUAAUUUAAGAAUUUAAUAUAUUUAUUUAAAUUUGUAUUUGAUUGGGGUAGUUUAAAAAUUUAAUUAAUUUUUUAUUUUUUAUUACAUUAAUUUAUGAGUUAAUGAUCCAAUAUUAUUGAUUAAAAGAUUAAAUUACCUUAGGGAUAACAGCGUAAUUUUUUUGAAGAGUUCAAAUCGAUAAAAAAGAUUGCGACCUCGAUGUUGGAUUAAAAUAAUUUUUGGUGUAGAAGCUAAAAUAAUUAAGUCUGUUCGACUUUUAAAAUUUU